GGGAGACAGCGGGCAGCGCCAGAGGAGGAGGACGCGGGAAGAUGGAGCUGCCCACGGCCUGCAGUCCGUGCCUCUCUGCCCGCGCGGGGACCACACAGUUGGAGAGGCUGCCGGGCACCGGCGCGGGCGAUGCUCAGCAUGGACCUCCGGCCGGUGCGCGCUCCUGCCCUGCCUUGGGGCUGGGGACUCGGCGGGACUCCAGCUACUGCAGUGGCUCCGCGGGCUCCCACCUCCGGGCCGCACCGGCGCCGCCAGAGGCCGGGACACCUGCAGCCCGCGGAGUGCGGUCUGGCCGCGCCUCUGUGCCCGGGCACAGCUGUGGGGACACUGGGUGCGGAAAACCGGGCGCCAGGACGUGGGAGAGCCGCGGACCUGCCUUUAAAGGCGCGUGCCUCGCUCUGGAGUUUGCGGAGCGAUCGGAGACGGGGAGGCUGAGGAGGAAACUCUUCCCCCGCGCCAUUUGCCCCGAGAUGUGGCGGCGCUCCUGGCCCCGCGGUCACGGCCACCCUCAACUGGCCAGGCCGCGGAGGCCGGUGACUGGCUGCUGGGUGCAAUCCCUAGGGAGGUCUCAGGGCUGCGGAUGGGCCUGGGUCUCGGCCGCCACGGGGGUCGAUCGGGCUACUGUGUGGACAGGGUGGCCAAGGAGGCAGCAGGUGUGCGGUCAACAGCCUGGCCAGAAUUCUGCUGUAGCUGGAUGGGGUGUGUGAGCGCGCGGGUGUACAUGUGCCUGGGUGUGCGCGGGUGUACAUCCACACCUGACUGCGUGUGCGCGAGUACACGCUGUGAGCCCAUAGUGUGUCUGGAAUUGGUGGGUUCUUGGUCUCACUGACUUCAAGAAUGAAGCCGCAUACCCUCGCGGUGAGUGGGUACAGCUCUUAAGGUGGUGCGUCUGGAGUUUGUUACUUCUGAUGUUCAGAUGUGUUCGGAGUUUCUUCCUUCUGGUGGGUUCGUGGUCUCGCUGGCUCAGGAUUGAAGCUGCAGACCUAGGCGGUGAGUGUUACAGCUCUUAAGGCAGAGCCUCUGGAGUUGUUCGUUCUUCCCGGUGGGCUCGUGGUCUCGCUGGGCUCAGGAGUGAAGCUGCAGAUCUUCACGGUGAGUGUUACAGCUCAUGAAAGCAGAGUGGACCCAAAGAGUGAGCAGUAGUAAGAUUUAUUGCAAAAAGCAAAAGAACAAAGCUUCCACAGCAUGGAAGGGGACCUGAGCCGGUUGCCACGGCUGGCUGGGGCAGCCUGCUUUUAUUCUCUUAUCUGGCCCUAGCGACAUCCUGCUGAUUGGUAGAGCCGAGUGGCCUGUUUUGUCAGGGCGCUGAUUGGUGCGUUUACAAUCCCUGAGCUAGAUACAAAGGUUCUCCACGUCCCCAUCAGAUUAGUUAGAUACACAGAGUUUCCACACACAGGUUCUCCAAGGCCCCACCAGAGCAGCUAGAUACAGAGUAUCGAUUGGUGCACUCACAAACCUUGAGCUAAACACAGGGUGCUGAUUGGUGUAUUUACAAUC
RNAcentral lists this long non-coding RNA (1497 nucleotides) under Homo sapiens (human). RNAcentral describes it as "non-protein coding lnc-MED10-6:8". Lineage: Eukaryota; Metazoa; Chordata; Mammalia; Primates; Hominidae. The record is from RNAcentral.